GGACUACUGGGGUAUCUAAUCCUGUUUGCUACCCACGCUUUCGCAUCUGAGCGUCAGUCUUCGUCCAGAAAGUCGCUUUCGCCACCGGUGUUCCUCCCAAUAUCUACGAAUUCCACCUCUACACUGGGAAUUCCACUUUCCUCUCCGAGACUCAAGCCAGGCAGUUUCAAAUGCACUUCCGGGGUUAAGCCCCGGGCUUUCACAUCUGACACACCCAACCGCCUACAUGCGCUUUACACCCAAUGAUUCCGAAUAACGCUUGCACCCCCCGUAUUACCGCGGCUGCUGGCAC
RNAcentral lists this ribosomal RNA (292 nucleotides) under uncultured bacterium. Its description in RNAcentral is "partial 16S ribosomal RNA". The record is from RNAcentral.